This 209-nucleotide ribosomal RNA is filed under the name Klebsiella pneumoniae. RNAcentral's name for it is "partial 23S ribosomal RNA". It matches the Rfam family "Bacterial large subunit ribosomal RNA", at positions 1248 to 1456 of the family's 2925-position model. Lineage: Bacteria; Pseudomonadati; Pseudomonadota; Gammaproteobacteria; Enterobacterales; Enterobacteriaceae. The record is from RNAcentral.
CUGUGAAGGUCAGUUGAGAAGCUGGCUGGAGGUAUCAGAAGUGCGAAUGCUGACAUGAGUAACGACAAUGCGAGUGAAAAACUCGCACGCCGAAAGACCAAGGGUUCCUGCGCAACGUUAAUCGACGCAGGGUGAGUCGGUCCCUAAGGCGAGGCUGAAGAGCGUAGUCGAUGGGAAACGGGUUAAUAUUCCCGUACUUCUAGUUACUG